UACUUUUCACUUAGCUACUUUUAUUUUAUAUUAUUCUCUUUAUUAAAUAAUAAAUCAGUAUUGUAUUCAGACUGAUCAAUUAGUUAUUUAGAAAUUUGUGCGCGGUUAUAUUUUGUGUUUUUGGCGUUACACUACCUUCUUGAAUACAUUUUAUAAACAAAGUUUGAUUUCUAAUUAAAUAUUACUUGUUAUUCUUACAUUAUUUUUUGUUUUAACUUUAGGUAGAAGUAAAGGUACGAAGCUACAGUAGCGACUCAGUAUAGAAUAUAAUUAAAUAAAUUAUUCUGAAUGUCUCGAUUCGUGGCCGAGGUGCCGGAGGUUCUGGUAAAACCAGGCAAGAUGAUCAGCCUCUCGUCUUCUAAGAUGAAAGCGUUACUGGUAGCAGUUGUUAUUGUGCUGUAUGUGUAUCUAUUGAUUUAUUUCAAAACCAUAUACUUGAGAACAAAAAGACUGGAUGAGAUAAUGGCUGUGGCAUUGAAGACUGAAAGAGAUUUGCUGAAUGUUGAAGCACUAGACAAAAAACUAGCGAUGCAGAUGACACGUGUUGACCAGCUGUAUGAAGACUACUAGACUGUGCGGACAGCACCUUGUGCCUACCAGAUGAUAACUCACAACUAAUUUUGUUAUUUCUUCAAUCCUCCAGGUAUUAUCUUUAAGGGUUGCAGCGGGGCGGUGCCAGUCAGCCGUCUUUGUGUCCUCUAUUCCGGCGAUGGCUGCAAUGAGCAAACUACACGAAGUGGCCACUUGUAAUUGUUAUGGAGUUCGUAAACGAGCGCCAAGUCAAGGUAUGAACGACUUCAGUACGUCAGUAGGUAGGCAGACUACUUUAACUUUAUGAAUAAUAUCACCUUUUGUUAAGACACCAAGGUCUCGCUCUGUACCUAUAUUCUCGACAUUUCAACUUAAUUUCUGCUGACUAGCAUUUGCAUUUCUUUUUGCAAAAGUAAUGAUAGAUAUACCUACUUAUCGAUAAAACUACUCGUGAGUAGUCGACCACUCGGCUGAAUUGUAAUUGACGUUAUAACCACGGUUGUAUAAUACUCGUGUCGUGGUAUACCUUGUGGGUGUGUCGACAACGAGAAAGCAUUUUGUCAUUUAUAUACAGUAAAUGUUGAAUGGUUGAUGCCUCUGAUGUGUCUAAUUACAGGCUAAUGUCAUUGGCUACAAUAGUCGCCAACGUGACGGACAGCUUGCUAGACAAACAGUUGAACACAUUGAUCUCCAUGACAAUUUAGGGUCAAACCCGGCCUAUCCACGGAGAGUGCCGUUCUGUGCCUCAAGCAAACUCUUCAAUACUAUACAUAGAGAAAGACUGUAUUUGCUUAUUUUUUGGAACUGGCAAAGGUUGGACCUGGUGACCGAUGAGGCGCUGUGGAAUACAAUGAAACAAUGUGUUCGAGAAUGAAACAAAAGUACCACACCUGGUUAAAUCCUCGUUUCGUUACUGGUGCGGUAACCGGAAAAAUAGUGUAACGUGGGCGGAAGCUCAAUCAGGAGGAAUACGAGCUGGAGUACGGGGUUAAGGAGCCGCCGCCUUCACUUGUACAUGGAGCAGCUGGUCGGCGGGCGCGGCAGUGCCGGAGUCGGCUGCCAUGUCGAUGGCGUUUCAUGAAGGGUGUUAGCCACGCGGAUGACAUGGUGCUGCUGAGCCCCUCGAUCAGUGCCCCGAGGACAAUUGUAGCGACGUGUGAGUACUACGUAGUGCCCGUGUGUUCAGAUAUAAAGUCAAAAAGAAUAAACUUGUUAUGUGUAAAGCGGGCGCCAUCAAAUAUUCCCCUGGUUUCUUGCCUGGUGGCACUUGUCUGAAUUGGGUGACUAAGUUUAAGUACUUGGAUCACUGAGGAUCUUAAAGACAAUGUGGAUAUAGAGAUAGAGAGGGCAUGCAGGUCGCUGGCUGUACGAUGUAAUAUGGUGGUUCGAAGAUUUGCACGUGGUUCAAGACCAGUAAAGUUAGUUGUUACUCUUUUAAAGUUUUUCUUCUUUCUUUCAACAUAUCAACAAAUCUUUCAACACUUGCAAUCUUUGGACCAAUAAUUUAGCGCAGACGGCAUACGUUCAGGAAACUGUUGAGACACGCGUGGCGACGUGGCGACGUGGCGACGUAGUCCGCUAUGUUUGCGGAGCCGCACACGGAUGAGUCUUACGCCAGCACGAGGAAAAUGAGCGGGAGGCUGCGCGCCGCCGCAAACAGUGUCCCGAGCGUAUCCAAAGACCGAUGGGAUUGCACUCUGCUGCGCCACUGGGUGAAAAUUCACACGUUCUUGUAAAUAAAUUACUAACACUAGUUUAAGUUGAUUUGUAUGUCUCAUAUCGUAGAGCAGGAGCUGCCAUGCGCGCAUGCGCCGUUAUGUAGCGAUAUGAGUCGUUACUUACCGACACUACUCUCAGCUACUUAGGAUAGGGUUUAUAUGUAGGUUAGAAGCAUGAAGCAAGUACAAAGAAGUGAAACCAUAACGAGAUUGUGCACUGUGACACAAAAUAACGUGGAGUUUGUUUGUUUGAAUGCGCCAAUCUCCGUAACUACUGGUCCGAUUUGAUAAAAUAUUUUUGCGUUGGAUAGUCCAUUUAUAGAGGAAGGCUAUAUAGUUUCACGCUACGAUCAAUAGAAGCCGAGCAGAGCGGGUGAAUAUGCGCGGAAGUAACUGGUGACAUUAAAAGUAAAAAAGUGUAAUCUAAAUAUGUUAUAAGCGUUCAGAACGUGUCACACACAACUGGCAACGCUUUUGUGGUAUGGAACCGCUAGAAGUAAAAUACAGAGGGGCGUGGUUUGUAACGUCCCGCCCUCCCCGUGAGUUGUCACGCAUUAUUAAGGGAAAUUAUAAAAAACAUCCCGUAAAAAAUACCAAGUCUCGUACCUCAUCAGUUUUUCUACCAUAAAAAGUUGUGAGAUCCAUGUAAUACCAAGUCGGUUAUUUUAUUUAGGACCUUCUGUCUUAAGUUAUUAUGUAAAUUGUAAUCACAUUAAUUUUACGUUUUAAAUAAAAGAAAUUGAAUUGGUCUCCGCACGUAGGUAAUCAUGCAAUAGACUAAACAAUACAUGUAAUACGAGAAUGAAAACACAAGUAGGUAUAGUCUUCGGCACGUAACUUGGCAUUUUUUUUUAUAAUAAGAAAGUUCCGCCAAUCGCACAGGGAUUGAUCCUCACAAGCAUCGUGCGCAGGCGCGGGGACGUUGCGUUGACUAUUGAAGAAAAUGAUUAGGUACAAAAUCUUGCCAAGUUAUCUGCCAACCUUUAUAUACUUGUGAUGGCCAAUCUCAUAUAUUUAAUAUGGGUUUACAAAGUUUUGAUUUAUCUAGAAAACUGGACCGAAAUGAUGUAGGUACCAAACAUUAAUUGUACUCUGAAGCUUCUAUGUCUGCUAGAAGUGCCUUAAAUUUUUGGUGAUCGGUCACUCAGUAAGUGGCAAAAUUUCGAAACUUUGACAAGUUAUAAUUCUUAAACCACUGUUUGUACAAUGCCUGCUCAGUAUCUGAAAAUUCAGGCUUCUUGUUUUAUCCACAACGAAGUUAUAGGCGGCCGAAAUACGCCUUAAUGGCUUCGAGAAAAGAAUGGAAGGCUGUACCGCUUUUUUGUUCAACUUGGCGGGGGCACUACCGUGCCCCAGAUCAUCUCUUUGUAUUUGCUUCUCGGUAAUAAGUUGGUAUGUAUGCAUCAUCAGUAUUAACGUUGUACCUCUGUUGUACAUAAGUACCAUUUUAUUAGUUAGGCCAACUGUCCGCACGUCAUACACACGUUGUCGUCUAUUUACGAUUGCAAAAAGGUUGCUUGCAUCGUGCGUAGCGACAGUCAAAACUGCGUCCACUGAACGACAACGUAGCUUUACUCACACGACGCAUGCAUUCGUCAACUGACGCGCUUUUAAUCAGUUUUGAUUGUUUCUAGGUAAGAGGCAAGCUUAUGCCUUGUAAUCGUCAUGCAAUCGUCAAUUGAUGAAAGUGGACAUAUUAUGUUGUGCGGUUAGGCGGAUAAUGGGCCUUCGGGAGAGACCUACAGUCCGCGACGCGUCAUGCGCGCACAUGACGACAGGCGGAUAUAACGAUGCUGCUUCGUGGACAGUUUUUUAUAGAUUCUAGGCAAGUAUUUGUCAUUUGAGAGCCGUCUAUUGUCAAAUGACAAUGACGCGUCGCAGUCAGUAGACACUUUCAUGAUUUAUAAUUCAGAUUCUCCUGGGUUGUGUAAGCGAAAACGUUUCUUCUACCUUUGGAAAAUCGUUGGUCACUUUUAAAGGAAACCAGGAACAAGUUGCGUUGUAUUUGUUUAAUGUAUAACUUAUUGUUUACUCGAAUGUAUUUUUAACGUUGGAAUCAAGAAAUAAAAACAAGCAUUUAAA
Molecule: long non-coding RNA, 4331 nt
Organism: Spodoptera frugiperda (fall armyworm)
Lineage: Eukaryota; Metazoa; Arthropoda; Insecta; Lepidoptera; Noctuidae
Exons: 4
Source: RefSeq, a predicted model, not a curated record